RNAcentral lists this long non-coding RNA (240 nucleotides) under Nicotiana benthamiana. RNAcentral describes it as "long non-coding RNA (NBEN_LNC001156)". The record is from RNAcentral. Lineage: Eukaryota; Viridiplantae; Streptophyta; Magnoliopsida; Solanales; Solanaceae.
GACCCUCGCCCUAUUAUUACAAGUCUCCACCUCCACUAUCACCAAAACCUGCACCUGUGUACUAUAAUAAAUCACCACCACCCCCAUCACUAUCGCCUCCACCUCCUUACUAUUACAAAUCUCCUCCACCAACAUCGCCUUCUCCUCCUCAUUCAUAUUACUACAAGUCGCCACCACCCCCAUCACCAUCAUCUCCACCACCAUAUUACUAUAAGUCACCACCACCACAAUUCCCAUCAC